Molecule: non-coding RNA, 106 nt
Organism: Acanthosepion pharaonis
Lineage: Eukaryota; Metazoa; Mollusca; Cephalopoda; Sepiida; Sepiidae
Source: the annotation of a GenBank genome assembly
CCAUAUCACGUUGAAACACCGGUUCUCGUACGAUCACCAUUUAAGCAAUGUCGAGCCUGGUCAGUACCUAGAUGAGUGACCGCUUGAGGAUACCAGGUGCUGUAAG